Molecule: ribosomal RNA, 328 nt
Filed under: uncultured bacterium
Lineage: Bacteria
Description: bacterial SSU rRNA
Rfam family: Bacterial small subunit ribosomal RNA
Source: RNAcentral
UCAGGCGUGAAAGCCCAGGGCUCAACCCUGGAAUUGCGCUUGAUACUGCUUGGCUUGAGUGCGGGAGAGGGAAGGGGAAUUCCCAGUGUAGAGGUGAAAUUCGUAGAUAUUGGGAAGAACACCAGUGGCGAAGGCGGCUACCUGGUCCGGAUCUGACGCUGAGGCACGAAAGCCUGGGGAGCAAACAGGAUUAGAUACCCUGGUAGUCCACGCCGUAAACGAUGAAUGCUAGACGUCGGGAAAAUUGUUUCUCGGUGUCUGCCCUAACGCAUUAAACAUUCCCCCCGGGGGGAACGGCCGCAAGGUUAAAACUCACAGGAAUUGACGG